Molecule: ribosomal RNA, 200 nt
Filed under: uncultured bacterium
Lineage: Bacteria
Description: partial 16S ribosomal RNA
Rfam family: Bacterial small subunit ribosomal RNA
Source: RNAcentral
AACGAACGCUGGCGGCGUGGAUUAGGCAUGCAAGUCGAACGCGAAAUGCGGAGGGGGUAACUCUCUGCAAAGUAGAGUGGCGAACGGGUGAGUAACGCGUGAGAAACCUGCCUUCGAUCGAAGGGGGAUAACACUCCUAACGGAGUGCUAAUACCGCAUGAGACCACGGGAUCGCAUGGUCCUGAGGUCAAAGGUGGCCU